GUGCCAGCCGCUGCGGUAAUACGGAGGGGCUAGCGUUGUUCGGAAUUACUGGGCGUAAAGCGCGCGUAGGCGGACUUUCAAGUCAGGGGUGAAAUCCCGAGGCUUAACCUCGGAACUGCCUUUGAUACUGUUGGUCUUGAGUCCGGGAGAGGUGAGCGGAAUUCCUAGUGUAGAGGUGAAAUUCGUAGAUAUUAGGAAGAACACCAGUGGCGAAGGCGGCUCACUGGCCCGGUACUGACGCUGAGGCGCGAAAGCGUGGGGAGCAAACAGGAUUAGAUACCCUGGUAGUCCACGCCGUAAACUAUGGAUGCUAGCCGUCGGGAGCUUGCUCGUCGGUGCGCAGCUAACGCAUU
Molecule: ribosomal RNA, 353 nt
Filed under: uncultured Hyphomicrobiales bacterium
Lineage: Bacteria; Pseudomonadati; Pseudomonadota; Alphaproteobacteria; Hyphomicrobiales
Description: bacterial SSU rRNA
Rfam family: Bacterial small subunit ribosomal RNA
Source: RNAcentral